GUGCCGCUGGGUGCCAAAAUUGUAGAGGAGGGACGUCCCCCUUUUCAGAAGUAUCUCGGCCAAUAAAGGCGGAAGGGAUGAUCGGGUUAGCACUCGCCGUUCUGCAGCCCCUCACGGAUGAAGGCAUCUGGAUACUGAACGUGCACAGCUGCUAACAAACCCAACCUUGGAGCCAGCGGCCCUGCGUGCCUUCUGAAGGAAACACAAAGCCCCAUGAGCUUGCCUUGCCAGGCAUGUGAAGGUCAUUUGCUAUCCUGCAAAUGUGGACUGUGGCAGAGAAAAUAUUUCAGAGUGCGUGAUGCGUAGGGUUCCCUGGUGAUCCACGCGAGCUUUGAUGGGAGAAGGUUUAGGAUCCCAGUUUCACAGUUGCCGGAAGUCCCUCCCAGAACCAACCACUUACAGGAGCUGUCGGUCGUCUUGGAGACGGCAGGUGAUGGGAGAGGAUGGCCAGCGAGGUCACAGCGGGAACUGGGCAAAGCUGUGGACAGGGAGAGACCGUGCCCUUUGACCCUGCCUGACAGCCGGUUCAGCCAUGCCCAGCCAGCGUAGGAGACCCAAGGUCGCCGGUCCUGGAUGAAACCCCAUUGGCUCCACCCCUCAGGGUGCGAAGGGCCCAUUAGAAGCCGUCUAGGCCCAAGUGGCCUGACUCCGCAGACGGGGAAAGUAAGAGCCAAAGAGGAGGGCUUUGCCCGGACACGACAGCUGCGGGCCCCACACCCCAGGCCAGCCCACAGGAUGCCCAGCGCAGCACCCACACUCCAGCCAGCCAGGCCCAGACCUCCCUCCCGGGCUCGUCGCCAGGGCCAGCAGCCUUACCUCCAGGGGCCCUCAGAUGAAGAAACAAGGAUGCCAAGACAGCCAAGGCCUGCAGUAACAAAUUACCACCGACAGGCUUAACGACCCCGACCCCGGAUGUGUGCUCCCUCACAGCUCCGGAAGCCAGCAGCCCAAAAUGCAAGCGCCAAAGGGGCCACGUUCCCUCUGAAGGAUCUGAGAGAUCCUUCCCUGCCUCUUCCAGCCUCCAGGGACUCCUGGUGUUUCUUGGCUCAUGAAUACAUAAC
Long non-coding RNA from Prionailurus viverrinus (fishing cat), 1061 nucleotides. RefSeq lists it as uncharacterized. The transcript has 7 exons. The record is from RefSeq and is a predicted model, not a curated record. Lineage: Eukaryota; Metazoa; Chordata; Mammalia; Carnivora; Felidae.